RNAcentral lists this long non-coding RNA (343 nucleotides) under Lupinus angustifolius (narrow-leaved blue lupine). Its description in RNAcentral is "long non-coding RNA (LANG_LNC001784)". Lineage: Eukaryota; Viridiplantae; Streptophyta; Magnoliopsida; Fabales; Fabaceae. The record is from RNAcentral.
CAUAUGUUAAUAAUACAGGCUGUAUGACUUGAAAAAUGAUCUAUGUUAGGGAUGACUUUAUGUUGGAUGAUGUGUUAGUAAGACAAUAUCUUUGUUAUACUUGACUUUAAUGUUAACAAAGUGUUAAGAAGAUAUAAGUAUUCAUUAUCUAUCUGAUAAUAACAAUUGACAGGUUAACAACACCAUAUUUUUCAUGCUUUAGACGCUAUCAUCCUCUUCAUGAAGUAUGAGUCAUCUGAUUUUGUUUGUUAAUACUCAAUAUUACUGAUAUUCUUCUUUCUGUUUUCCUGAGUGAAUCCUCCCUGAUCCCUGAUUGUUCACUGAACACAUGCACGCCCAGCAG